Macrobrachium nipponense is the source of this 827-nucleotide long non-coding RNA. RefSeq lists it as uncharacterized. The transcript has 4 exons. The record is from RefSeq and is a predicted model, not a curated record. Lineage: Eukaryota; Metazoa; Arthropoda; Malacostraca; Decapoda; Palaemonidae.
UGCCCAUAGAAGUGUUUAUUGUUUUUGACCAGAUUUGGUUUGAUACACCUAUCCUGGACCAAAUGUUCAGUUUUAUAAUUAUUGUCUGAUAACUUUUGGAUAGGCAUGAGCCAUGUGGGAGUAAUCUGGGCGUACAUAACUUAUGAACGGUGGCAUAUGGCCCCUGUUACCGCCCACAAGAAAAAAAAAAUAUGAAAAAAGAAGACAAAAUAAGCGGAAUAGAAUAGAAGAUGAAGAGGUGCCGUUGUAAGGGUUAAACCUCCGCCCUUCAACUGAUUUAUGCCGAACUGAAGUUUACAAGCUGGCUGAUAAACAUAAGCCAAACAUGAGAAUUGAAGAUUUGCGAAUGCAGGUCUCGUGGCGUUGAGUUUGUGAUUUUUUAAAUGCAAACCAUGGUGAGUGGUAAACAGACAUGACCUUAUAGAAAUGAUGGCAACGUGGUAAUUUAACGUGUGCCUCUUGUUAAGAUGUUAGGUCUUUUGAGAUGCACAUUGAAAACCAUUUACAAGCAACAUCUACAUUCUCAUAUUUAUUGAAGAUUUGUACUAGAGGUGGAAAACUCCCAAUGCAUAAACUACUAUGGCAACCAGGUGUCACCAGUUGGAUAGAUGUUGCUCAAAAUAAGUUAUGCAGCAAUACUACAAAAGAGCAGCAGUAUUCCUUAAUUCAGAAGCGGUCGUAUUGAAGCACUUGAGCGUCUGUGACUAUUUUCCUGAUUAUUCUGUUCAACUAGUGAGAUAUUCUAUGGAAGCUUUUCAAAUGUUACACAGUGUGUAAACUUUAUUUGCAUGAUUUGAUUUUGAUAUUUAUGUGUUAUCAAAAUAUAC